UAGGGAAUCUUCCGCAAUGGACGCAAGUCUGACGGAGCAACGCCGCGUGAGUGAAGAAGGAUUUCGGUUCGUAAAACUCUGUUGUUAGAGAAGAACAGCGCAUAGAGUAACUGUUAUGCGUGUGACGGUAUCUAACCAGAAAGCCACGGCUAACUACGUGCCAGCAGCCGCGGUAAUACGUAGGUCCCGAGCGUUGUCCGGAUUUAUUGGGCGUAAAGCGAGCGCAGGCGGUUAGAUAAGUCUGAAGUUAAAGGCAGUGGCUCAACCAUUGUAGGCUUUGGAAACUGUUUAACUUGAGUGCAGAAGGGGAGAGUGGAAUUCCAUGUGUAGCGGUGAAAUGCGUAGAUAUAUGGAGGAACACCGGUGGCGAAAGCGGCUAUCUGGUCUGUAACUGACGCUGAGGCUCGAAAGCGUGGGGAGCGAACAGG
RNAcentral lists this ribosomal RNA (428 nucleotides) under Bacteroidota bacterium. Its description in RNAcentral is "Bacteroidetes bacterium partial 16S ribosomal RNA". It matches the Rfam family "Bacterial small subunit ribosomal RNA", at positions 355 to 776 of the family's 1533-position model. The record is from RNAcentral. Lineage: Bacteria; Pseudomonadati; Bacteroidota.